RNAcentral lists this ribosomal RNA (519 nucleotides) under Salmonella enterica. RNAcentral's name for it is "partial 23S ribosomal RNA". It matches the Rfam family "Bacterial large subunit ribosomal RNA", at positions 133 to 677 of the family's 2925-position model. The record is from RNAcentral. Lineage: Bacteria; Pseudomonadati; Pseudomonadota; Gammaproteobacteria; Enterobacterales; Enterobacteriaceae. RNAcentral also lists the same sequence under 1 other name.
GUGACUCGUCACACUAUCAUUAACUGAAUCCAUAGGUUAAUGAGGCGAACCGGGGGAACUGAAACAUCUAAGUACCCCGAGGAAAAGAAAUCAACCGAGAUUCCCCCAGUAGCGGCGAGCGAACGGGGAUGAGCCCAGAGCCUGAAUCAGCAUGUGUGUUAGUGGAAGCGUCUGGAAAGGCGCGCGAUACAGGGUGACAGCCCCGUACACAAAAGCGCAUAUGCUGUGAGCUCGAUGAGUAGGGCGGGACACGUGGUAUCCUGUCUGAAUAUGGGGGGACCAUCCUCCAAGGCUAAAUACUCCUGACUGACCGAUAGUGAACAAGUACCGUGAGGGAAAGGCGAAAAGAACCCCGGCGAGGGGAGUGAAAAAGAACCUGAAACCGUGUACGUACAAGCAGUGGGAGCCCCACCACUAAGCCAGUGGUGAACUCCACAUACGCAUCCUUUGCUGAGGAUGCGGUUAACGGAGCGAAAGCGACGUUCAACCGCAAAAGAAGCAGAGGGGGCUUAGUGGUGG